Saccostrea cuccullata (small rock oyster) is the source of this 946-nucleotide long non-coding RNA. RefSeq lists it as uncharacterized. The record is from RefSeq and is a predicted model, not a curated record. The transcript has 5 exons. Lineage: Eukaryota; Metazoa; Mollusca; Bivalvia; Ostreida; Ostreidae.
GAACCAGAGUAGGGAACAAGUCUAGAAGGCAAAGAAAAUUCCGCCAAGUAAACAACAAAGAAAGGGAUUUGGGAUGAUGUCAGUUGUAUACAUUAUGUGGGCCGGUGACUGCAAGAAGCAAGGAAUGCGGAGCUAAUGCAUGCUGCUAAGGAUUGAAAGGUCUUGUGUUUAUUGGUUGUUCCUGAGACACCAGUCACAGUUGUACCUUAUUUCCAUUUUAGAAGCAAAGAAUGUGGAGCUAAUGCAUGCUGCUAAGGAUGGAAAGGUCUUGUGUUUAUUGGUUGUGCCUGAGACACAAGUCACAGUUGUACCUUAUUUCCAUUUUAGGGAGUCUAUAUACACUUGAAAGGUGAGCGUCAGAUUUAAUUUUGAAGAUGGAUGACUUUCAGAUGUUGUGAUGAAGAUUGUUGAAAGAGAUUAUCAACAUAGAACCAUUCCAUAUGAAUGUGCAAGUCAGGACUUGUACAUCACCUGAGUACCCAGAUGACUGUUAAACUAAUUGGUGAACAAGAAAAGAUGUCAGAGAGGGGAAUCCAAUACAGAUGUCAUGAUCAAGAAAAUGUACUGUUAUCAAUGAUAUGAUCAAGAAUUUGUAAACUUGUAGCGAUUUAGAAUAUCUUAUCUGUAAUAUAACUCUUCAAUACUUAAUUGUUCACACAUUAUCAUCUUAUCUGUAUAUUAAUCGCCCCCUCUUACAUAUAACCCCCUGCUGAUUGUAAUGACCUGUGUAUCGAUUCCUGAUCUUUAGGAUCUUAUAAUGUGCUCGUCAGGAGCGGAUCUUGAGUAUAUAUAUAUAUAGUGCGGCAGAAUUUUAGAAUAAGAUAGGAAGAUGGAAAUAUAGAAGACUUAGUAGAUAGAACUGUUAGAAAUAGAUAAAGUUACUUACUUACUUGGAAUAUUACCUAAUAUUUCUUGAAUUUAUAUGUACAUGUGAUUAUUUAACUUG